GAUGAACGCUGGCGGCGUGUCUAAGGCAUGCAAGUCGAAUGGGUUUAGACCCAUGGCAAACGGGUGCGUAACACAUUGGUAACCUACCUCGAAGUUCAGAAUAACCCUCCGAAAGGAGGAAUAAUACUGGAUGUGCUCGAUCUUCAUAUGGAGAUCGCGUAAAGAUUUAUCGCUUCGAGAGGGACCUAUGGCCUAUCAGCUAGUUGGUGAGAUAAUAGCUCACCAAGGCUAUGACGGGUAGCGGGUGUGAGAGCAUGACCCGCCUCACUGGGACUGAGACACUGCCCAGACACCUACGGGUGGCUGCAGUCAAGAAUAUUCCUCAAUGGACGAAAGUCUGAAGGAGCGACGCCGCGUGACUGAUGAAGUCCU
Molecule: ribosomal RNA, 372 nt
Filed under: uncultured bacterium
Lineage: Bacteria
Description: bacterial SSU rRNA
Rfam family: Bacterial small subunit ribosomal RNA
Source: RNAcentral